Long non-coding RNA from Trifolium pratense (red clover), 992 nucleotides. RefSeq lists it as uncharacterized. The transcript is spliced from 5 exons. Lineage: Eukaryota; Viridiplantae; Streptophyta; Magnoliopsida; Fabales; Fabaceae. The record is from RefSeq and is a predicted model, not a curated record.
UAAAAAAAGUCCCAAAUUCUAUUUGUCUCUUAGAUGGUUCACAGCUCAUCUUCGCCAAAUUGCAAAAAUCCCAAAUCAAGUCAUUUUGCUCGAAGACUUUUCAUAGCUCCUUUCUCCAUAGCUCAUCUUCGCCGUUCACGUCUCUUCCGUUGUUAUCUAUAAUCGCCGACUCAGUUCCUCUCUGCGUGGUUUCUCCAUAGACGCCGACUCAGCUCCCUUCUUUGCUCCUCCCAAAUCCUGUUGUUUCUCUUCACUGUUCAGCAAGGCACAACAAUUCCUUUUGCUCGGCCUACACUUGAGAUCUUUGCUGCAUUUGUUAAAUGGCCCAGGGUCAGUCCACAUGUACUGGAGGGGGAAGCUCAUCAAAAUGAUGUGGAAGUUAGAGAUAAUAAUGAGCAAGAUGGAGGAGAGCAUGGAGCUUAAAGCAGGCCAAUCCCAGAAGAAAUUAUGGCAGUUGGAACAUCACAACCAACUGUUGUGGCUACCAAAGAUGGUCGCAUUGGUGUCAAGAACCAAAUGAAGGAUGAGUUUUCAAACAUUUAUAUACGUUGGAGUAUGACUUAUUUAGCCAAGAGGAAAAUAGAGAUAUGAUGGAGAGAAACUGAAUGUGAUUAUGUAGCCAAUGCUUUUCCAGAUCUAUUAAUGAAAAAGAACCUCAUUUGCAGAGCCUCAUUUGUUCCUACCUCCAUAACAUAUAAAGAAAAUUCAAAGAGUCUCAAUAAUGGAAAGAAGCAAUUUUGCAAAUAGGAUUCUUGAACAUGGUAAUUCAAAAUUGAGAGAUCACAUUAUAUUCGAUUUCACAAUCGAGGUUUUAAAUUGUAGUCGCGGUUAUGAUUAUGUCACUGUCUUCGUUGAUGUGCAAUUGUGAUCUGUGAAUAUGUGACUUUACUCGAAAGAUGCGUCCGGUGUUUGACACUGAUAGGAUACUGGCACAUGUGAUUAUAUUAAAAUAUUUCAUAUUCUCAAAUUGCUAUGGUCGUGUUUGGUAUUCA